GUAUAAUGAAUUAAUAACGAUACAGUAUUCUAGUCAAUCCAUUAUAUCUGGAGGACGGGGCUAAAAAUCCGUCGAAGGGCAUAUCGAUGAAGUUCUUUGUAUGAGCCCUGAGCGCCCAGCUUGGGGUUUAUGCAGGGAGUAAAGAAAGAUGGGGCGAUCUACAAUGGCAUGUAGGCGUUGACCCUGCUUUCGUGGAGGCUUGCAUUUUGUUUGCGAGAAUAACCUGUUUCUUAUUAAACAGAGUAGCCUGCCUUGAGUGAGAUGCGGAGAUGAUAAGGUGAGAGUAAUUUUUAUGGGCCCAUAGAAAAUAUUCUUUGUUAUCGAAACGUAUUUUGCAAAAGAGGCUAAGGAUAUCCUUUGGAUUGUAUAGGAAAACUUCUAGACUGUUGGUAUUAGGUAUGUUUUGGAUUACAGUGCGGACUAAGUGGCGAUCCAGCUCUGCUUAUGGCAACAAAGCGGCACUUUAAUGAAAGGGAAACCGCUAUAUUGGCAACAAAUAGUUUGAAGUGGGGAAAGCCUGCUGGACCUAUGCCGUAAGAUUUACAAGAUAUAUCAUCGUUAUUGCUGAUGGCAAU
This is a non-coding RNA of Peptostreptococcaceae bacterium oral taxon 113, 575 nucleotides long. NCBI's taxonomy places the organism in Bacteria, Bacillati, Bacillota, Clostridia, Peptostreptococcales, Peptostreptococcaceae. The record is from Rfam.